This 850-nucleotide ribosomal RNA is filed under the name uncultured bacterium. RNAcentral's name for it is "bacterial SSU rRNA". It matches the Rfam family "Bacterial small subunit ribosomal RNA", at positions 43 to 889 of the family's 1533-position model. The record is from RNAcentral.
CAUGCCUAACACAUGCAAGUCGAACGGCAGCACGGGAGCAAUCCUGGUGGCGAGUGGCGAACGGGUGAGUAAUAUAUCGGAACGUGCCCAGUCGUGGGGGAUAACGCAGCGAAAGCUGUGCUAAUACCGCAUACGAUCUACGGAUGAAAGCGGGGGAUCGCAAGACCUCGCGCGAUUGGAGCGGCCGAUAUCAGAUUAGCUAGUUGGUGGGGUAAAAGCCCACCAAGGCGACGAUCUGUAGCUGGUCUGAGAGGACGACCAGCCACACUGGAACUGAGACACGGUCCAGACUCCUACGGGAGGCAGCAGUGGGGAAUUUUGGACAAUGGGCGCAAGCCUGAUCCAGCAAUGCCGCGUGCAGGAUGAAGGCCUUCGGGUUGUAAACUGCUUUUGUACGGAACGAAACGGUCUGCUUUAAUACAGUGGGCUAAUGACGGUACCGUAAGAAUAAGCACCGGCUAACUACGUGCCAGCAGCCGCGGUAAUACGUAGGGUGCGAGCGUUAAUCGGAAUUACUGGGCGUAAAGCGUGCGCAGGCGGUUAUAUAAGACAGAUGUGAAAUCCCCGGGCUCAACCUGGGACCUGCAUUUGUGACUGUAUAGCUAGAGUACGGUAGAGGGGGAUGGAAUUCCGCGUGUAGCAGUGAAAUGCGUAGAUAUGCGGAGGAACACCGAUGGCGAAGGCAAUCCCCUGGACCUGUACUGACGCUCAUGCACGAAAGCGUGGGGAGCAAACAGGAUUAGAUACCCUGGUAGUCCACGCCCUAAACGAUGUCAACUGGUUGUUGGGUCUUCACUGACUCAGUAACGAAGCUAACGCGUGAAGUUGACCGCCUGGGGAGUACGCCGAC